This 1099-nucleotide long non-coding RNA is filed under the name Sus scrofa (pig). RNAcentral's name for it is "lncRNA (ENSSSCG00030054917.1)". Lineage: Eukaryota; Metazoa; Chordata; Mammalia; Artiodactyla; Suidae. The record is from RNAcentral.
GUUUACUGGAGGCUUAGCCAAAGCUUUUCCCUUCUCAGUUUUCAGUGCCCCAGAUUCCCAAGACAGAUGAGCAGGAGGAAUGAAUCCAAACUUCUAGAAACAGCUCAUCUUCCCUUGUGCUUGCAGCACUGGGUGCUUGGUGUGGGCUGGUGGGGUGUGUGUGUGUGUGUGUGGUGUGUGUGUGUGUGUGCGCAGGAAUAUGCAGACCUCAGGGUUUCUAAGUGCCCGGCCAUGGUCUGGUCUUGAUUAGGCAGGCGGAGGGAAGUGGGUCCACAGCAGCGAUCAGAGCUGCUGCAUCCAGCUGUGAGGCUGCAGAGCCAGAAACGCGUGCGACCUGAAAGGGAACACAUUUCUAGAGGGCCUCGGGCCAAGGUGGAGGUGAUGAGGGCAGGAUGUGGAGGCCAGCGGAGGACAAGUGCUGACUGGCAUGGGGAUGCUACGGGUGGGGGGACGGUCAGGAAUUAGCAGCUGAUUUCAAGCGUUGGGAGGAGGUGCGGAGACAAGGAGGCAGCGGCUGGGGUGAUUCCAGAGUAAUUAGGGUGGAAAAUUCUGGAGCAUCCUCGUUGCUUCCCUCAGGACAGAGGCUGCGCGUUUCUCAGCUCUGUCCUGGCAGCGGCUGGCGGAGCAUGUGUGGGCUUCAUUGAAUACGCUGCCCGAGUGUCUUGCAGCUUUUCCCAGGCGUCUUCUGUGUCUCCCUGUCCCCACGGCUGCAACUUCGACAACUGAGUUCUCUUGCUCUGGCUGCAUUUCAGGACAAGAGCAUGCCUGCCUGAGGUGCCUAGAAUCCUGGCUGGACCCCAAACACUGCAGACUACUUGGUUUCUGUCCAAGGACAGCCCCAAUGGCCUGGACAGGCCUUUUUUCAUCGAGAACAUGGAGUAAACCCGUGGAGAAACCCCAAACUCCGAGACCAGAUCUGGAAAGAACUUUCUUGGCCCAAACACACCCUUGGAUCAUCUCCAUUUCAUCCUCACGGCGUCAGCGUCCUUAUUUCCUUGUCUGUAAACGGAAGCAAAGUUGGACAGAGGUGUCUGUGACCUUGGACCCAGGGCGAUUUGGCCUCUAUUCCAGGAACUGCAGCUCUCUCUCCAGGAGGUGA